GGCGUUAGGUGAAAGGACUAGCUCCUGGAGCUGAAGCCAGUCGCAGAUACCAGCUGGCUGCAACUGUUUAAUAAAAACACAGCACUGUGCAAACACGAAAGUGGACGUAUACGGUGUGACGCCUGCCCGGUGCUGGAAGGUUAAUUGAUGGGGUCAGCCGCAAGGCGAAGCUCUUGAUCGAAGCCCCAGUAAACGGCGGCCGUAACUAUAACGGUCCUAAGGUAGCGAAAUUCCUUGUCGGGUAAGUUCCGACCUGCACGAAUGGCGUAAUGAUGGCCAGGCUGUCUCCACCCGAGACUCAGUGAAAUUGAACUCGCUGUGAAGAUGCAGUGUACCCGCGGCAAGACGGAAAGACCCCGUGAACCUUUACUAUAGCUUGACACUGAACAUUGAGCCUUGAUGUGUAGGAUAGGUGGGAGGCUUUGAAGUGUGGACGCCA
RNAcentral lists this ribosomal RNA (439 nucleotides) under Leptospira borgpetersenii serovar Ballum. RNAcentral's name for it is "partial 23S ribosomal RNA". It matches the Rfam family "Bacterial large subunit ribosomal RNA", at positions 1732 to 2173 of the family's 2925-position model. Lineage: Bacteria; Pseudomonadati; Spirochaetota; Leptospiria; Leptospirales; Leptospiraceae. The record is from RNAcentral.